AAAACUCUAAAGCUAGUCAAUGGAAACAAAAAUUUCAAUUAAAUAAAGUAUUUUGAAAAAAAUUUCAACUAUAUAUCGUUAAAUAUAUAAUGUUUACUUCAAUUUCAACUUAUAUUAUUUAAGGUAUAAUGAAUUUUAUAUUAUAAAUGUUAUUUUUUAAAAUUAAAAUUUAUCAGACUCAUUGAUUUUUAAAUCACUUAUUUAUCAAAUUAUUUAAAAACGUGAUGAAUUUUAUAAUUAUAAAUUUUAGAAUUUCACUAACAUUUUAAAUAGUUUAAUUAACCUAGCUAAUUUAAAUUUUAUGUAAAAAUUGUGAUCUGGUAACAAUUAAAGUAGCAACUAAAGUGAUUAUUUCAGUAAGCAAAAUCCUUGUGGAAUCCGCUUCAGUAUAUAGGAUGCAUUUAUUUAAUAGAUUUGGGAAAGAAAAAUCCUUUUCAAUUAGUUAAUAAUUUUUUUUUACGUCACUAAUACUGCAUUCAUUUUCAUCGAACAAGUCAUUAAAGAUAUUGGAUCCUUGAAGGUUUGUUUCCUUAGAUCUCCUUCAUCAGUUUUCUCCUACAAGGAGCUAGCCAUGGCAGAGGUGGUAGCUGGAGCAUUUCUCUCCAGCAUGUUCCAGUUUUUGUUUGAUAAGAUGGAUUCUCCCGAUAUUGUUGCCUUCUUCAAGGCCCACAAACUCGACUCUGUACUGGUGAGGAAGUUGAAGAUUGCUAUGAUCACUGUUACUGGAUUGCUUGAUCACGCCGAGGAGAAGCAAAUUGUUGUGCCUGCUGUGAAGAAGUGGCUUGAUGAGCUCAAAGAUGUGGCCUUUGAGGCCGAUGACUUGUUGGAUGAGAUUUCUUACGAAGCUCUUCGGUUGGAGUUGGAAGCUGAAUCUCGGAUUAAAAAGGUGAGCAGGCUUUUCUCUUCUCAUAAUCAAUUUGAAAUGGCAGUCAAUGAAAAAUUAGACAAGAUCCUUGAGCUAGUUGAAUAUUUAAUAAGACAGAUGAAAGCCUUGGGUCUAACACUGAGAGAGGGGAUUGGAGAUAAACCAUCAUCUCAGAGAACACCAACUAGUUCAAUACCAGAUGAUGCAUCUAGUAUUUGCGGCAGGGAAGAUGACAGAAAAAAAAUCAGAGAGUCCUUGCUAUCUGAUGGCCAUGGCGUUGGUGUGAUUUGCAUAGUUGGGAGUGGCGGCAUGGGCAAAACCACCCUCGCUCAACUUGUCUACAAUGACAAAAAAGUACAUGGACACUUUGAUAUCAAAGCAUGGGUCUAUGUCUCAGAAGAAUUCAAUGUCUUCAAGAUAACUAAAGAUAUUUUUAGCCAGGUGUCUUCCAAGACUAGUAAGGCCAACGUUUUGGGUGAGCUUCAAGAAGAACUGAAGCAAGAAUUAGAGGGAAAAAUAACUGAUACUUGUGGUAAGAUCUCUUCAGAGCAUGGUAAGGUUGAGGAUAUCAAUGAGCAUCAACAAAAGCGAAAGCAGCCAAAAAAAUUGUUGCUCAUCUUGGAUGAUGUCUGGAGUGACAAGGAUAAUGAAUGGGAAAGUUUACUAAAGCCUUUGAAGUUUGGGGCACCAAGAAGUAAGAUUGUUGUUACAACUCACAAGGAAAGCGUAGCAUCAGCCAUGCAACAUUACCAUAUGCACAUUGAUAUUCAUAAUUUGGAGAAACUAAGUGAUGAUAAUUGCCGGCACCUGCUUGAAACAUAUGCAUUUCAUAAUCAAGUUUCCCAUUCAUCACAUUCAGUCUUUGAAGAUGUUGGCAAGAAA
This 1747-nucleotide unclassified non-coding RNA is filed under the name Hevea brasiliensis (rubber tree). The record is from RNAcentral. Lineage: Eukaryota; Viridiplantae; Streptophyta; Magnoliopsida; Malpighiales; Euphorbiaceae.